AUUGAACGCUGGCGGCAUGCUUUACACAUGCAAGUCGAACGGUAACAGGCCGCAAGGUGCUGACGAGUGGCGAACGGGUGAGUAAUGCAUCGGAACGUGCCCAGUCGUGGGGGAUAACGCAGCGAAAGCUGUGCUAAUACCGCAUACGAUCUAUGGAUGAAAGCGGGGGACCGUAAGGCCUCGCGCGAUUGGAGCGGCCGAUGUCAGAUUAGGUAGUUGGUGGGGUAAAGGCUCACCAAGCCAAUGAUCUGUAGCUGGUCUGAGAGGACGACCAGCCACACUGGGACUGAGACACGGCCCAGACUCCUACGGGAGGCAGCAGUGGGGAAUUUUGGACAAUGGGCGCAAGCCUGAUCCAGCAGUGCCGCGUGCAGGAAGAAGGCCUUCGGGUUGUAAACUGCUUUUGUACGGAACGAAACGGCGAGCUCUAAUACAGUUUGCUAAUGACGGUACCGUAAGAAUAAGCACCGGCUAACUACGUGCCAGCCGCCGCGGUAA
Molecule: ribosomal RNA, 498 nt
Filed under: uncultured bacterium
Lineage: Bacteria
Description: partial 16S ribosomal RNA
Rfam family: Bacterial small subunit ribosomal RNA
Source: RNAcentral